CCUACGGGCGGCAGCAGUGGGGGAUAUUGGGCAAUGGGCGCAAGCCUGACCCAGCAAUGCCGCGUGAAGGAAGAAGGCUUUCGGGUUGUAAACUUCUUUAACAGGGGAAGAGCAGAAGACGGUACCCUGAAAACAAGCCACGGCUAACUCCGUGCCAGCAGCCGCGGUAAUACGUAGGUGGCAAGCGUUGUCCGGAUUUACUGGGUGUAAAGGGCGUGUAGCCGGGAAGGCAAGUCAGAUGUGAAAUCUGGAGGCUCAACCUCCAAAUUGCAUUUGAAACUGUUUUUCUUGAGUACUGGAGAGGCAGACGGAAUGCCUUGUGUAGCGGUGAAAUGCGUAGAUAUAAGGAGGAACACCAGUGGCGAAGGCGGUCUGCUGGACAGCAACUGACGGUGAGGCGCGAAAGCGUGGGGAGCAAACAGGAUUAGAUACCCCUGUAGUC
RNAcentral lists this ribosomal RNA (442 nucleotides) under uncultured bacterium. RNAcentral's name for it is "partial 16S ribosomal RNA". It matches the Rfam family "Bacterial small subunit ribosomal RNA", at positions 338 to 795 of the family's 1533-position model. The record is from RNAcentral.